UAGAGUUUGAUCCUGGCUCAGAUUGAACGCUGGCGGCAUGCUUUACGCAUGCAAGUCGAACGGCAGCGCGGGGCAACCUGGCGGCGAGUGGCGAACGGGUGAGUAAUACAUCGGAACGUACCCAGAAGUGGGGGAUAACGUAGCGAAAGUUACGCUAAUACCGCAUACGUUCUACGGAAGAAAGUGGGGGAUCUUCGGACCUCAUGCUUUUGGAGCGGCCGAUGUCUGAUUAGCUAGUUGGUGAGGUAAAGGCUCACCAAGGCGACGAUCAGUAGCUGGUCUGAGAGGACGACCAGCCACACUGGGACUGAGACACGGCCCAGACUCCUACGGGAGGCAGCAGUGGGGAAUUUUGGACAAUGGGCGCAAGCCUGAUCCAGCAAUGCCGCGUGAGUGAAGAAGGCCUUCGGGUUGUAAAGCUCUUUUGUCAGGGAAGAAACGGCUGGGGCUAAUAUCCCCGGCUAAUGACGGUACCUGAAGAAUAAGCACCGGCUAACUACGUGCCAGCAGCCGCGGUAAUACGUAGGGUGCAAGCGUUAAUCGGAAUUACUGGGCGUAAAGCGUGCGCAGGCGGUUUUGUAAGUCUGACGUGAAAUCCCCGGGCUCAACCUGG
RNAcentral lists this ribosomal RNA (613 nucleotides) under bacterium enrichment culture clone SC-1_59. Its description in RNAcentral is "bacterial SSU rRNA". It matches the Rfam family "Bacterial small subunit ribosomal RNA", at positions 1 to 617 of the family's 1533-position model. The record is from RNAcentral.